Molecule: non-coding RNA, 45 nt
Organism: Schistosoma haematobium
Lineage: Eukaryota; Metazoa; Platyhelminthes; Trematoda; Strigeidida; Schistosomatidae
Source: Rfam
AUCCAGCUAACAGGUCGCAAAUAAGACGAAACACCCGUCCUGGAU